This 411-nucleotide ribosomal RNA is filed under the name uncultured bacterium. RNAcentral's name for it is "bacterial SSU rRNA". It matches the Rfam family "Bacterial small subunit ribosomal RNA", at positions 207 to 622 of the family's 1533-position model. The record is from RNAcentral.
AAGACCUUGCGCUUUUGGAGCGGCCGAUGUCUGAUUAGCUAGUUGGUGGGGUAAUGGCCUACCAAAGCUUCGAUCAGUAGCUGGUCUGAGAGGACGGCCAGCCACACUGGGACUGAGACACGGCCCAGACUCCUACGGGAGGCAGCAGUGGGGAAUUUUGGACAAUGGGGGCAAGCCUGAUCCAGCCAUGCCGCGUGAGUGAAGAAGGCCUUCGGGUUGUAAAGCUCUUUCAGCCGGGAAGAAAAGGUUGCGAUUAAUNGACGGUACCGGAAGAAGAAGCACCGGCUAACUACGUGCCAGCAGCCGCGGUAAUACGUAGGGUGCGAGCGUUAAUCGGAAUUACUGGGCGUAAAGGGUGCGCAGGCGGUUUUGUAAGUCAGAUGUGAAAUCCCCGGGCUUAACCUGGGAACU